GCGGACGUGGCGGAAUUGGCAUACGCGCAUGCUUGAGGUGCAUGUCCCGCAAGGGGUGGAGGUUCAAGUCCUCUCGUCCGCACCA
RNAcentral lists this transfer RNA (85 nucleotides) under bacterium. Its description in RNAcentral is "tRNA-Leu". It matches the Rfam family "tRNA". Rfam says of the family: Transfer RNA (tRNA) molecules are approximately 80 nucleotides in length. Their secondary structure includes four short double-helical elements and three loops (D, anti-codon, and T loops). The record is from RNAcentral.